AUUGAACGCUGGCGGCAUGCCUUACACAUGCAAGUCGAACGGCAGCACGGGAGCAAUCCUGGUGGCGAGUGGCGAACGGGUGAGUAAUAUAUCGGAACGUGCCCAGUCGUGGGGGAUAACGUAGCGAAAGCUACGCUAAUACCGCAUACGAUCUAUGGAUGAAAGCGGGGGAUCGCAAGACCUCGCGCGAUUGGAGCGGCCGAUAUCAGAUUAGCUAGUUGGUGGGGUAAAAGCUCACCAAGGCGACGAUCUGUAGCUGGUCUGAGAGGACGACCAGCCACACUGGAACUGAGACACGGUCCAGACUCCUACGGGAGGCAGCAGUGGGGAAUUUUGGACAAUGGGCGAAAGCCUGAUCCAGCAAUGCCGCGUGCAGGACGAAGGCCUUCGGUUGUAACUGCUUUGUACGGAACGAAAAGUACUGCCUAAUACGUGGGCGUCAUGACGGUACCGUAACGAAUAAGCACCGGCUAACUACGUGCC
This 483-nucleotide ribosomal RNA is filed under the name uncultured bacterium. Its description in RNAcentral is "bacterial SSU rRNA". It matches the Rfam family "Bacterial small subunit ribosomal RNA", at positions 30 to 509 of the family's 1533-position model. The record is from RNAcentral.